AGCUAUAAGGUAUAGUAUUACCCUUAUAGCGUAGCAAGUAGCAUGUAUCA
This 50-nucleotide non-coding RNA is filed under the name unclassified sequences. RNAcentral describes it as "ssNA-helicase RNA". It matches the Rfam family "ssNA-helicase RNA". Rfam says of the family: Firmicutes, Actinobacteria (1 example). Downstream gene The record is from Rfam by way of RNAcentral.